Molecule: long non-coding RNA, 320 nt
Filed under: Cyanistes caeruleus (blue tit)
Lineage: Eukaryota; Metazoa; Chordata; Aves; Passeriformes; Paridae
Description: lncRNA (ENSCCEG00000020296.1)
Source: RNAcentral
AAAGCCUUGGAAAAUCUGGUGUGGGGGAAAUAAACCUUAACAAAAAUAGAACAACCAUCAUUCUGAGGUAUAAUUUACCUGCAUUAAGGAGGUAAUAUGUAUCAUGCCUUGCUUUAAGUAAACUUUCUGGAUGUAUGGAGAUUAGAUCCAGCAGCAAUUAAACCAUUGCCUCUGGAACACUGCACAUCUUCAGGUGUGUUACAAAGGCAAGAGCUUCACAAAUAGAAGUGUGAUUCUUUGAGCCCUUACAACAUCCAAAUAUAGAAUAUGUAAGUAUAUAGAUAUACUAAAUAUAGAAUAUGUAAGAUGUAAGUACUCUC